GCCUCUUUAGCUCAGCGGUAGAGCAGCGGUUUCGUAAACCGCAGGUCGUGGGUUCAAAUCCCAUGAGAGGCU
Molecule: transfer RNA, 72 nt
Filed under: Bacteroidota bacterium
Lineage: Bacteria; Pseudomonadati; Bacteroidota
Description: Bacteroidetes bacterium (sediment metagenome) tRNA-Thr
Rfam family: tRNA
About the family: Transfer RNA (tRNA) molecules are approximately 80 nucleotides in length. Their secondary structure includes four short double-helical elements and three loops (D, anti-codon, and T loops).
Source: RNAcentral